RNAcentral lists this ribosomal RNA (468 nucleotides) under uncultured bacterium. RNAcentral's name for it is "bacterial SSU rRNA". It matches the Rfam family "Bacterial small subunit ribosomal RNA", at positions 328 to 793 of the family's 1533-position model. The record is from RNAcentral.
UCAGUCGACUCCUACGGGAGGCAGCAGUGAGGAAUAUUGGUCAAUGGAGGAACUCUGAACCAGCCAUCCCGCGUGUAGGAAGACGGCCUUAUGGGGUUGUAAACUACUUUUAUACAGGAAGAAACGUACCCUCGUGAGGGUGCCUGACGGUACUGUAGGAAUAAGCACCGGCUAACUCCGUGCCAGCAGCCGCGGUAAUACGGAGGGUGCGAGCGUUAUCCGGAUUUAUUGGGUUUAAAGGGUCCGUAGGCGGAUUAAUAAGUCAGUGGUGAAAUCCCAUCGCUUAACGAUGGAACUGCCAUUGAUACUGUUAGUCUUGAAUGAGGGUGCAGUGGUUGGAAUGUGUAGUGUAGCGGUGAAAUGCAUAGAUAUUACACAGAACACCGAUUGCGAAGGCAGAUCACUAACCCUAAAUUGACGCUGAGGGACGAAAGCGUGGGGAGCGAACAGGAUUAGAUACCCUGGUAG